UUUGCAGGAUAAGUGUGUAUCGGUUAAAUGCCUUUUGAUGUGCAUUUCUUACUGAAAGUGUUUCCUGCUAUAUUAAUUUGAGGAAAAUGGGCAGUUGGGUUGAGCUUGAUAAUCUCUUUCGCCAACAAUCAUUUUCCUCUCAUUU
Triticum aestivum (bread wheat) is the source of this 145-nucleotide non-coding RNA. NCBI's taxonomy places the organism in Eukaryota, Viridiplantae, Streptophyta, Magnoliopsida, Poales, Poaceae. The record is from Rfam.